AGACAGAGGCCAGUGUGAUAUAAAGACAGGUGAGAUAGAUAAUAGGACAGUAAGGAAGAUACGAAGGGGUAGCCAGACCCUGCCAAUAGGGGAGGAGCACGGAUGUGGAAUUCAGGAAGUUCCAAAGCCAUACUGAGAAUAAAUGCUGUUCCACUGAAAUACACAGCUCAGUGACAUUGAACAGCAGAUACAACGUUUCCCGUGCAUGACAGCAUAACGUAAGUAGUAACACAUUGUUAGUAAACUGCAGGUGUCUGACAGUAACUCAAUAUCAUAUUAUAUAACAAUUGGGACAGUGUGUAUAUAUAGCAAUUGUUUAUAUAUAUAUAUAUAUAUAUAAAUAUAGAUUGUAUAUCUCUGUGGCGUAUUGCUUAGGUACUUUCUAUCUUUGUGUAUAUAGCUGUACUUAUAGUUUGGUUUUUAUCACCACAUUCUAUUGCACAUGUGUUAAUAGUAAAUGCCUAACAAACACUGGAACUACUUUGGGGUUAAUGCGUGUGGUGAUAGUACUUGAGGUUCAUGACAUCAUUUAAUCACUUUUUAACGACUCACCCAUUAAUUGUUUCACCAAUUGUUUCACCAAUCACUUAUUCAAGCUUGGUUUUUGAACCUUUAAGGACUGACACAUUCGAUAAUUUGUGUUACAUUACUUACUUUAAUAAAGGGAUUAAAAUCACAGAGAAACACCUGAGAGUGCGCUCUAUCAAGGAUUAUUAUAUAAUUGCCUGGAGCAGUGAGCCAGGGCAGUGAGUGCGGGGCACCAGUAUAUAUACAUUGUAUGUUUUGAUCCUGGGGAAAGUCCCAGGAGGGACUGAAACGUUGAUCAUUUUUAUUUAUAUUUGAAAUUUUAAAGACCAGAGUGCAGCCAACUUCAUAUGCUAUCUAUAUAUACAAACACACAAACAUUAUCUAUCUGUUUUUAUAAAAUGUUGGAAACUACUGAACAGAAACAUGUGAAUAAAUUUAGUUUUAUGGUAAAUUAUAGUAGAGAUGCAAAGAUGAUACAUACCUCCAAACAAUCUGUAAUGGGGAAUCGGGAUGGUGCGGGAAGGCAACUAGUGACACCCUGAAACAGGCAGACCUGCCCACUGAUAGGCCACCAGCCUUCAGGACCAUGCUCUUGCCUCACAACGCUCAUACAUCCAAUAAUGUGCUUUGAUGGCGCUGUGUUGCCCUAGAGACAGUUCCUGGUGUCUCCAGGGAACUAACGUGGAACAGGACCCCAAAAUCAGGACUAUCCCGUCAAACAAGGACUGAUGGGAGGCCCAGUGAUAUCUAUGUGUGAGAACAGGUUUUCAGGACACAAGUUCCUGCAUAGUUUAAUCUCAAAUCUGGGUUCAAUAAUUCCUAAAAAGUAACUAAACAGGAAUUUAAGGAGCAUUGGCAAUUGCAAUUUUUAGGCCAAAAACAGCUGAAGUAGAAAAUAACUGAUUUGGAGAAUUCCGAUAUUUUGGCUUAGAGUUUUUCAUUUCUCCACAAAUCCCACUUUAUAGAAUAACCCUGAAAUCCUGAAGUCUUUAAAAAUAUAAUCAUCUGUAGUACCUGAAAAGUGUAUCUGUUAGUAAAAGCUGAUAUUUCCAUGGGAAUUCAAUGCAAUCUGACUGCUCAAUCCAAUAGAAACCCACUGAAAAACGACAUACAGAAAAAGCUAAGAUUCAAUGGCCUCAAUUUAAUAUUUUGUAGGCUUUUUAAAUUAUUUAGUAUUUUUUUUUAAAAUAUAAAAAAAUUAUAUCUGUAUAUAUAUAUAUAUUAAUAUUUAAAAAAUAUAUCUAUAACAUAUCAAUAUUUAAAAAUAAAGCUAUAUUACAAUAUUAAAUUGUUUUUUUUAAAGUUUAACAAAAAAUAUUAAAUUGGGCGUAUGUUACAAAGAAACAUAGAAUAUAACGGCAGAUAAGAACCACUCGGCCCAUCUAGUCUGCCCAAUUUUCUAAAUACUUUCAUUAGUCCCUGGCCUUAUCUUAUAGUUAGGAUAGCCUUAUGCCUAUCCCACGCAUGCUUAAACUCCUUUACUGUGUUAACCUCUACCACUUCAGCUGGAAGGCUAUUCCAUGCAUCCACUACCCUCUCAGUAAAGUAAUACUUCCUGAUAUUAUUUUUAAACCUUUGUCCCUCUAAUUUAAGACUAUGUCCUCUUGUUGUGGUAGUUUUUCUUCUUUUAAAUAUAGUCUCCUCCUUUACUGUGUUGAUUCCCUUUAUGUAUUUAAAUGUUUCUAUCAUAUCCCCCCUGUCUCGUCUUUCCUCCAAGCUAUACAUGUUAAGAUCCUUUAACCUUUCCUGGUAAGUUUUAUCCCGCAAUCCAUGAACCCGUUUAGUAGCCCUUCUCUGAACCCUCUCUAAGGUAUCAAUAUCCUUCUGAAGAUACAAUCUCCAGUACUGUGUACAAUACUCCAAGUGAGGUCUCACCAGUGUUCUGUUCAAUGGCAUGAGCACUUCCCUCUUUCUACUGCUAAUACCUCUCCCUAUACAACCAAGCAUUCUGCUAGCAUUUCCUGCUGCUCUAUUACAUUGUCUGCCUACCUUUAAGUCAUCAGAAAUAAUCACCCCUAAAUCCCUUUCCUCAUAUGUUGAGGUUAGGACUCUAUCAAAUAUUCUGUACUCUGCCCUUGGGUUUUUACGUCCAAGAUGCAUUAUCUUGCACUUAUCCACAUUAAAUGUCAGUUGCCACAAUUCUGACCAUUUUUCUAGUUUACCUAAAUCAUUUGCCAUUUGGCUUAUCCCUCCUGGAACAUCAACCCUGUUACAUAUCUUAGUAUCAUCAGCAAAAAGACAUAUCUUACCAUCAAGACCUUCUGCAAUAUCACUAAUAAAAAUAUUAAAGAGAAUGGGUCCAAAUACAGAUCCCUGAGGUACCCCACUGGUGACAAGUCCAAGCUUCGAAUAUAUUCCAUUAACUACAACCCUCUGUUGCCUGUCACUCAGCCACUGCCUUACCCAUUCAACAAUAUUGGAAUCCAAACUUAAAGAUUGCAGUUUAUUGAUAAGCCUUCUAUGUGCAACAGUGUCAAAAGCCUUACUGAAAUCUAGGUAAGCAAUGUCUACUGCACCACCCUGAUCUAUAAUUUUAGUUACCCAAUCAAAAAAAUCAAUAAGAUUAGUUUGGCAUGAUCUCCCUGAAGUAAACCCAUGUUGUCUCUGAUCUUGAAAUUCAUGUGUUUUUAGAUGUUCAACAAUCCUAUCCUUUAACAUGGUUUCCAUCACUUUCCCCACUACUGAAGUAAGGCUUACUGGCCUAUAGUUGCCCAACUCCUCCCUAUUACCUUUCUUGUAAAUGGUCACAACAUUCGCUAACUUCCAAUCUUCUGGGACUACUCCUGUUAACAAUGAUUGGUUAAAUAAAUCUGUUAAUGGUUUUGCUAGUACACCACUAAGCUCUUUUAAUAGCUUUGGGUGUAUUCCAUCAGGUCCCAUUGACUUAUUUGUCUUUACUUUUGACAGUUGAAAUAGAACCUCUUCCUCUGUAAACUCACAUGUAAUAAAUGACUCAUUUAUCCUUUUUCUUAAAGCGGCACUGUCAUGCCGAACUUACCUUUCCUCAAUCUCUUCCUCUUCUCCCCCUCUCUCAGGAUCUGUUAUUCUUUUCUUCCUGUCUUCUUUAGUUUUCUUUAAAAUCAUAAGACAAAGAAGGGACUCUUUGCCUUAUGGAGGAUUCCUCCGCUUGACCAGCUCUGACCAGCGGAGGAGCAAAGUGUGCUUCAUUUCCGCUGGUCAGAGCAAUUUUCCCAUGAUCCCUAGCUUUCCUCUGUGAUCCCACAAUGCUUCCUGUCACUUUACACAAAACUGCCGAAUUGCGUUCUAACUGAAUGACAACAGUAUGUUCGUUUCUUUUAGAACGCAAUUCGGCAUUUUAUUCGGAUCGGAAUUUCAUUCUAAUGAAUGAAACUCUGAUCCUAUUCAUUGCUGUGGCUGCAUUUUGCAGCCGCUUAGUAGAUAACUCCCUAAUUCCCACGGUAUCAGGGAGCUAUCUACUAAAAGGCUGAAAGACCUAAAUUGGUCUAACAGCCAACUUUACUAAUACUAAGUAAAGAUUACUUAGUAUUAGUAAAUAAUAUGCCCCUACUCGCUAUAUCGCGAGUAGGGGCAUGUGUAGUAACCUGAGCGGUGGGUGGGGGCCCUAAUAAAACAAUAAGGGGGGGGGACCUACUGUCCUCCCCCCCCGGCCCCCACCCCUGUGCGUUGGGUGGGUGGGGGCCCUAAUAAAACAAUAAGGGGGACCUACUGUCAGAGUGCUCUGAGUCAUUUUACACCGCGUGGGAAAAAUUCUAAAGAACUUUCCCACGCUGUGUAAAAUGACACAGAGUACUCUGAUUGGGUGGCUUUCAAGCCACCCAAUCAGAGUGCUAUGAGUCAUUUUACACAGCUAGUCAAAAGAACUUUUCCCACGCUGUGUAAAAUGACUCAGAGCACUCUGAUUGGCUUAAACCCACCAAUCAGAGUGUUCUAAGCCUAAUUGCAGGGCGGGGCAAGGCUUUAUAAGCCUUGACCCGCCCUGCGGAGCUCAGUAUGCGGCGUGCCCUCGAAGGGCGAACAUGGAUUAUUUUUUUUUCUUUUUUUUUUUUUUUAAAGUGCGACGGGUGUAAUGGAUUUUUAUUUGGCCUUUUUGGGGGCUGAAGAAAGAAGAUUUUAGAAAAAAGAAGACGUCAAAUGGUAAGUUUAAUUUUUUUUUUUUUACAGGUUAGUUAUUUUAUUCCCCCCUCACUAUUUGUAGGGUGAGGGGGGUAGGUAGGGGAUAGGUUUUUUUGGGUGGGGGGUUGGUGACUAGGGGCUUGGGACCCCUAGUCACCUUGAUUGGGGGGGGGUGUUUCAUUUAGGGCCCCCACCCACCGCUCAGGGGUGGGGGCCGGGGGGGAGGACAGUAGGUCCCCCCCUUAUUGUUUUAUUAGGGCCCCCACCCACCGCUCAGGGGUGGGGAGGACAGUAGGUCCCCCCCCUUAUUGUUUUAUUGGGCCCCCACCCACCGCUCAGGGGUGGGGGCCAGGGGGGAGGACAGUAGGUCCCCCCUAUUGUUUUAUUAGGGCCCCCACCCACCGCUCAGGGGUGGGGGCCAGGGGGGAGGACAGUAGGUCCCCCCCUUAUUGUUUUAUUAGGGCCCCCACCCACCGCCAGGGGUGGCCAGGGGAGGACAGUAGGUCCCCCCUAUUAGCUUUUAUUAGGCCCCCACCCACCGCCAGGGUGGGUCGGGGAGGACAGUGAGGUCCCCCCUUAUUAGUUUUACUAGGCCCCACCCACCGCAGGGUAGGGGCCGGGGGACAGGAAGUUCCCCAUAUCUUAUUUAGCCCCCACCCACCAGAGGGCCAGGGGAGGACAGGUCCCCCUUAUUGUUUUACAGCCCCACCCACCGCGCAGGGGUGGGGGCCGGGGGGGAGGACAGUAGGUCCCCCCCCUUAUUAGGGCCCCCACCCACCGCGCAGGGGUGGGGGCGGGGGGGAGGACAGUAGGUCCCCCCCCUUAUUGUUUUACUGGGGCCCCCACCCACCGCGCAGGGGUGGGGGCCAGGGGGGGAGGACAGUAGGUCCCCCCCCUUAUUGUUUUAUUAGGGCCCCCACCCACCGCGCAGGGGUGGGGGCCGGGGGGGGACAGAAGUUCCCCCCAUAUCUUUAUUUUAGGCCCCCACCCACCGCUCAGGGGUGGGGGCCGGGGGGAGGACAGUAGGUCCCCCCCCUUAUUGUUUUAUUAGGGCCCCCACCCACCGCGGGGGGGAGGACAGUAGGUCCCCCUUAUGAGUUUAUUAGGGCCCCCACCCACCGCCGCAGGGUGGCUGUGGGAGGACAGUGGUCCCCCCUUUAUGGUGAGCCCAUUAGGGCCCCCACCCACCGCUCAGGGGUGGGGGCCGGGGGGGGGGGAGGACAGUAGGUCCCCCCCCCAUUAUCUUUAUGGCCCCCACCCGCCGCUCAGGGUGGGGGAGGGGGGGAGGACAAUAGGUCCGCCCCCCCUUAUUGUAAUUUAUGUCUUUUUUUUCAACAGUGAGCAGCCACAGGCUGCUCACUGUUUAGUAGACAUACCCCUACUCGCGGUAUAGUGAGUAGGGGCAUUUGGGAGAUUUAAAUCUCUCUUGUGCUAUUAUGGGGGUCAUAUUGACCCCCAUAGAGUGAGAGGGGGUACUGGGGGGCUUAUGAAGUGGUGGGGAGCACUGCUCCCUGCCGCUUCUAUAGUUACAUAUUACAAGGAGGGAGCUGCACGCCGGUAGCUCCCUCCUUGUAAUAACCUGCACGAACAAACAUACACUGAUACAUUGUGUUUGUUUGUUCGGCUGAUCUUUCUAUUCACUCAUUCGUCUGUCUGAUGAAUGAAUGAAUAGAUGAAAUUCCCGUUCGCAUGUCCAGGUGUUUCACUGGGCAUGUGCGGGAAUCUCACAGUCUGCCUAGUGUGGGCAGAUGACGUGUCCCACAGGGACUUCACCUACCCACACAAAGAUGGCGGCGCCCUGAAUCAAGAUCGGGGCAGAAAAUAAGGAUUAAAAAUAGGUAAUGUGGGGGGCUUAGGGGCAUUUGGGGGUGACUAGUGGGUCAAUUGGAUGUAGUGGAGGCGGGAGGGGGGUUAAAAAAAAAAACGGGUUUCGGCAUGACAGUGCCGCUUUAACUGAGGUUGAUUCCCUUGAUGUAUUUAAAUGUUUCUAUCAUAUCCCCCCCUGUCUCGUCUUUCCUCCAAGCUAUACAUGUUAAGAUCCUUUAAAUUUUCCUUGUAAGUUUUAUCCUGCAAUCCAUAAACCAGUUUAGUAGCCCUUCUCUGAACUCUCUCCAAAGUAUCAAUAUCCUUCUGGAGAUACGGUCUCCAGUACUGCGUACAAUUCUACAAGUGAGGUCUCACCAGUGUUCUGUACAAUGGCAUGAGCACUUCCCUCUUUCUAUUGCUAAUACCUCUCCCUAUACAACCAAGCAUUCUGUUAGCAUUUCCAGCUGCUCUGUUACAUUGUCUGCCUACCUUUAAGUCAUCUGAAAUAAUUACUCCAAAAUCCCUUUCCUCAGAUGUUGAGGUUAGUAGGGUAUGAAAAAUCUUAUACUAUGCCCUUGGGUUUUUACGUCCAAGAUGCAUUAUCUUGCACUUAUCCACAUUAAAUGUCAGUUGCCACAAUUCUGACCAUUUUUCUAGUUUACCUAAAUCAUUUGCCAUUUGGCGUAUCCCUCCUGGAACAUCAACCCUGUUACGUAUCUUAGUAUCAUCAGCAAAAAGACAUACCUUACCAUCAAGACCUUCUACAAUAUCACUAAUAAAAAUAUUAAAGAAAAUGGGUCCAAGUACAGAUCCCUGAGGUACCCCACUGGUGACAAGUCCAAGCUUCGAAUAUAUUCCAUUAACUACAACCCUCUGUUGCCUGUCACUCAGCCACUGCCUUACCCAUUCAACAAUAUUGGAAUCCAAACUUAAAGAUUGCAGUUUAUUGAUAAGCCUUCUAUGUGCAACAGUGUCAAAAGCCUUACUGAAAUCUAGGUAAGCAAUGUCUACUGCACCACCGUGAUUUAUUAUUUUAGUUACCCAAUCAAAAAAAUCAAUAAGAUUAGUUUGGCAUGAUCUCCCUGAAGUAAACCCAUGUUAUCUCUGAUCUUGAAAUCCAUGUGAAUUUAGAUGUUCAUCAAUCCCAUCCUUUAACAUGGUUUCCAUCACUUUCCCCACUACUGAAGUAAGGCUUACUGGCCUAUAGUUGCCCGACUUCUCCCUUCUACCUUUCUUGUGAAUGAGUACAACAUUCGCUAAUUUUCAAUGUUGGAUAUGUGUUACAGGGAAAAAAGGGACUGGUCUCCAGCCAAGGAUACUCCAAAAUAUAUAUAGGUUGCUAGAAUAGGAUCUGCCAAAAAUGGGGUGCGUUGGCAUUGAGGCAGGCUUAUGUAAUAUAUGAACAUAUACGGUACUGUAACUAAACACCUAUUAUUUUUGUGCAAGUCAGGUGUUUUAAAAAUAAAUACAUUUUAAGAUUACGUUUUAUGAGCUUUGAAGUUGGCGUUUAGUACAUGAGUGAGGGCACUGGAUUUACAUUCAAUUCAUUAUGACGCACAUAAUAAAUAAAUAAAUAAAUAAACAACAGCUCAUGGAAACAAGUAUUCAGUAUUAAAACAUUAGAGUCAGCAGAACAGAGACAAUAAAGGGAAAUUAAACUAAUCGUUCCACUGAAUUGUUUAAUGCUUUUUCCAUGAAACAAAACAUUAUUUGAAUGAGAUUCUAAAAUGCACUAACUCCUGCCAUCUGUAAAGGGAAGUUAAAGGGACACUAUAGUCACCAGAACAACUACAGUUUAGUGCAGGCAUUUUCAUGUAAACACUGCCUUUUUCAGAUGCUGCCUAGGGACACCUCUAGUGGCCAUCUCUCAGACAGCUAUUAGAGGUGCUUCCUGGGUAAGUGCUGCACAACAUCGAUCAUGGAGAUGCUGAACAUUCCCCAUAGAGAUGCAUUAAUUCAAUGCAUCUCUAUGAGGAGAUGCUGAUUGGGCAGGACGGCAUGUGGCUCCAUCCCUUGGCUGAGAUCAUCAAUUCUGAUGUUACCCAAGAAGGCAGAGCGUGGGCGGAGUUAUUGCUAUAUUUAAGGGGGGGGGCUAAAUAGUUUUUAACACUAUAGAAUCAGGAAUGCAUGUUUGUGUUCCUGACCCUGUAGUGUUCCUUUAAACAUAAAUAAUAAUAAUUUUUUUAAAAUCAUUAUUUAAAUUAAUAGGAUAAAUCCAAUGCAAGGAUGCUGUUACGCAGAUAAAUGAUUCAAUCAGUGUGUACUGGAAAUAAUAAAGGACAGUAUAAUCUCAUGUGUGGUGUGCUGUUGUGGCACUUAAAGCAUGCUUGUAAGUCUCUUGCACAGAAAAAAAUAAAGAAUUUAAAAAAUAAAUAAAAAUCACACCGAUAUAGCGACAGACAUAAUUACACAAUGUGUUCUCAGAUUACGCAUACUAUUUUAAAUAGCCUGCAUGUCCUCGCUUUACAUAAAGUUUUGGUUUACAUAGCAUUGCAUCAUACAGGCAUAAUGCGGAGUUUGGCACAGUGUAGCAGUGUUAAAGGACCGCUCUAGGCACCCUGACCACUUCAGCUUAAUGAGGUGGUCUGGGUGCCAGGUCCCUCUAGGAUUAACCCUUUCUUCUAUAAACAUAGCAGUUUCAGAGAAACUAUAAAUGGGUUAAUCCAUCCUCCAAAUCCUCUAGUGGCUGUCUCAUUGACAGCCGCUAGAGACGCUUGCGUGAUUCUCACUGUGAAAAUGACAGUGAGAGCACGCAAGCGUCCAUAGGAAAGCAUUGAUAAUGCUUUCCUAUGCGACCGGCUGAAUGCGGGCGCAGCUCUUGCCGGGCGUGCGCAUUCAGCCGACGGGGAGGAACGGAGGAGGAUCAGAGGAGGAGAGCUCCCUGUCCAGCGCUGGAAAAAGGUAAGUUUGGGGCACCCUCAGGGCACCAUAGUGCCAGGAAAACAAGUAUGUUUUCCUGGCACUAUAGUGGUCCUUUAACCCAUGUAUCAAAUUAAAUUAACCUAAUGUCAAACACAAUAGUAAAUCCUGGAACCAGGCAUGCCAUCAAAAUGUAGUAAUUGAUGGUAUGCAAUAUGUUACUGUAGAUAGUCACAGCAAUUCAAUGGUUCCUUACACAUCCCUAAUUUACAAUCUGCAUCAUUUACAUUGUCAAUGGAUUAAAAGGAACAACUCUGUUCCUCUGGGAGUUAAAUGAGGCAGGGCUACAAUACACAUUGUAAUCUUUGGUGUCUGGUGGACCCCAUGUAAGAAGUUAGAGCAGGGCUGUCACCCCUACCCCCGAAAAUUAGAAAUUCAUAAAGAUAGAAUCCUUGUGAAAUACUCAUUUUGACUGUGUUGGAAUUUCAGUGAAAUUCAGACCCAAUCAAGAGAUAUACUGAGAAAAAGUAGUGACUACUUUGUCUUUGUAUAUUUUCUCCACCUGACUUUCUUAGACACGGGGCGAAGCUUCAGCCAUCACCAGUGACGGAUGCAGGGUAUUGGCUUUGUGUUUAAUUAUUGUUCACAUUUUUUAGAUUGUCAUCUAAUUUGAGCAGAACUCUGUAGCCUCGGGUUCUAGCAUGUGGUUCUUGCAACCCCACAGUUGCUUGUUUAUUUCAGUUCCUCAUUGUACAGAGCUGCGGUAAAUGUUUGCACUAUCUAAAUAAUACUAGUACUUGGAUCUGCAGCAGGGAUGUUGUAUGUACAUUAUAUUGCAUUCCCGAAUCUCUGCUAACUGUAGAAAUUGUAAUCUUUUAUUUACUUUCUACAACGUGCAAUGGGUUCAAACGCUGCUGAUAUUGCCCAAGAUAUGGCACGGCUCAAGGUAAAUGCGAUUAUAAUAAUACGAUAUUGUUCCUGCAGACCCAGCAUUCUAUAAUGAGUGUUCCACAUUCCAGAGUAAUAACGGGCAUCUGCCAGUUAACAGAGUAAAUGUAUGGCAAACUAGACUGUAGCAAACACAGUAUUAUACAGUUAUAUAUUAAAAAUAACAAAAAAAAUCAUGUGAGAGCCACUAAGUGCUUUGUCAUUGCUACCUUUGUGCAUGAUCACCCCUUUGUUGCUGUUAAUAUCUACCUAGCAUUAUAUUUACUGUUUGAAUUGGCCAAAAAGUGUUAUCAUACCUUCCUACUAAGGAUUCAUGCUUCAUUUACCACCAUCGCAUCUACUGCUUUCUUCCUAAACUUGCCAUCCUGUGUGCGAUUACAUGUGUCAAUGAAUAGCAGACGAUGACAACAACGAGUGAUUAAGUAGGAAUUUAGACUAAUUAUAAACACCACACCAAGGUCUGAAUUCAUUUGAUAUAAUUAGAAAAAGGAAAUGAUAGAAACCAGUAGAAUAAUUCAAAGUGUUUAAUUGUAAACUGUGAUUUUGCAGCAUUCAAAUGCUGUUUUUUGUUUUGUUGUUUUUUUUUAAUUGGACAUAUUGAUAGCACGAAAAUUGCCUAUAUGUUUUGGCAGAAAGUAGUUACCUUUAAGGGACACUCCGGGCACCAAUACUUCUUUUAUGCAUUUGAUAGAUUUUGGCCUCGUUCGUAUGCUGUAAUUUAUGCACACAUUUAAAUCUUUUUAAUUUUUGCACACACACACACAAAAAAAAUAUUUUGCAGAACACUACACCAUAACCCUGCAUCUUUAGCCACACCCCCUCAUUGCAAAAAUACUUUCUUAUCAAAUGCAUGCAUACAGCCCCAACAGCACUGAGGGAGCUGUUUUUUAAUUCACACACGUGUUGCAGACAGUCAGAGGAACUAAAAACAGGUAGUGAUAUCCUUAUGUCUCCCUGGGUGUCCUCUCCUUCUAAUGCAGGUUGUCCUGUUGUUCAGAUCAUUCCAUACUGUCAGUGGCUGAGUUGUGUGGAUUCCUUUGAUAAGGAAGUAUUUUUCUGGUGUCAGGGGGUGUGGCUAAAGAGGCAGGCCUACGGGGCAUAAUUCUGCAAAACAUUUAUUUAUUUUAUGCAAAAGCUAUAAAGAUUUAAGCAUAAAGAAAGUACAUGGCAUUAAUGAGGUCAAAACCUAUCAAAUGCAUACAAGUUGUACUGGCACAUUUAAUGUAUAUUUGUCCUGCAAUUGGGUGCCUACAUUUUGGCUCUCUGUCGAUCAUUAUUAUAAACUCUGUCUUUUCCACCUGGCAGUGAGCACAUAGAGAAACCCCAGAGAAGAUGCGAAAUUAAACAAAUGUUUCUUUUUGUCUUUUUCAGUGAUUGCUUUGGCUUUGCUUUGUUUGAACUGGUCGAUGAUGUAAUUUGCUAAAUUGUUAAUAUAAAUUUAAAAGAAAGUGAGCAUUUAAUAAAAAGAAUGUUAACACAAGUGAUAGGUGGGUUUUAGUCACUGGUUUAAAUUCCACAGACAGACAGUUUCUCUGUCAAGUGAACCAACAUUAUAAAAAUAUACAAUGUUAUAAUAUGUUUCUCUAACUAACACUAACCCAACUAAACCUUAACAAAUCCUAACCCUAGUUAACCUUAACCCUGAACCCAAGUAACCCUAACUAAUUCCUCUCCUAACUCAAACUCACCCUAAUUGGAAUCCUAACUCAAACUCACUCUAACACUAACUAAUUCUGAUCCCAACUCAAACUCACUCUGACCCUAACUAAUCCUAAUGAUAGCUCAAACUCACCCUAACUCACCCUAAUUCUAAUCCUAACUGAAACUCACUCUGACCCUAACUAAUCCUAAUGAUAGCUCAAACUCACCCUAACUCACCCUAAUUAUAAUCCUAGCUCAAACUCACUCUAACCCUAACUAAUCCUAAUGCUAGCUCAAACUCACCCUAACUCACCCUAAUUCUAAUCCUAACUGAAACUCACUCUGACCCUAACUAAUCCUAAUGCUAGCUCAAACUCACACUAACUCACCCUAAUUCUAAUCCUAACUGAAACUCACUCUGACCCUAACUAAUCCUAAUGAUAGCUCAAACUCACCCUAAUUCUAAUCCUAACUGAAACUCACUCUGACCCUAACUAAUCCUAAUGAUAGCUCAAACUCACCCUAACUCACCCUAAUUCUAAUCCUAGCUCAAACGCACUCUAACCCUAACUAAUCCUAAUGAUAGCUCAAACUCACCCUAACUCACCCUAAUUCUAAUCCUAGCUCAAACUCACUCUAACCCUAACUAAUCCUAAUGCUAGCUCAAACUCAUCCUAACUCUAACUAAUUCUAAUCCUAGCUCAAACUCACUCUAACCCUAAAUAAUCCUAAUACUAACUAAAACUCACCCUCACCCUAAUUCUAAUUCUAGCUCAAACUCACUCUAAUGCUAUUUAAUUCUAAUCCUAACAAAGACUCACCCUGACCCUAACUAAUUCUAAUCCUAACUCAAACUCACCCUAACUCAUCCUAAUUCUAAUCCUAACUCAAACUCACUCUAACUCUGACUAAUCCUAAUGCUAGCUCAAACUCACCCAAACGUUAACUAAUUCUAAUCCUAACUCAGCCUAACCAUAAAUAAUCAUAAUACUAACUCAAACUCACCCUAACCCUAACUAAUUCUAAUCCUAACUCAAACUCACCCUAAUUAUAAUCCUAACUCAAACUCACUCUAACCCUAACUAAUCCUAAUGCUAGUUCAAACUCACCCUAACCCUAACUAAUCCUAAUGCUAGCUCAAACUCACCCUAACUCUAACUAAUUCUAAUCCUAACUCAAACUCAUCCUAACCCUAGGAAACACUAGCAAUAAAUUUUUUAGUAGAUUGGUCCCUAGGCUGAGUGAUACUUGUGAGAGCCAGUCACAGUAUUCACAUUGCCUUAGAUGAUAGCUACUAGCUCUCAGGUCAUUCAAAUAUCUGAGGAACCAAUCUGACAAUGUUGGACUGCAACACUGCUGAACAGCCAAAAAUAUCACCCAAGAAUGCACUGUUCCAGAUGAGCAUUGGCUGUCAGGUAUAGGAUACCUGUGAUUGGCUCUCACGCUGAUCCUAUGCUUGUAGUAGCCCAUUUGACUAUUGCAGGCCACCUCCUGACUUUCAGUAAUAGCAUGGCACAUGUUGCUUUAUACUGAUAGCAUACUUCCCAACAAUCUUGAUCGGAGAAUUGGGACAGGGACUAGUAACGACCAUAACAGGUUCCUUGGCUAGCCCUCAGCUUUUAGAACCAUGCAUGGAGUCAAGUUGUAGCACUCCCUGCAUGGUUUUAAUCAGUGCCAUCUUAACAACAUUAUGGGCCCCCAAGGCAAAACAGUGCACUGGGGCCCUGCCUACACAACCAGUCACAGGAAAAAAAAUUUAAAUUAUGUGUGUGAGUGUAAGGGGUGCUCAGUGUGUGUGUUAGGGGGAGGGGAAUGCAUAGGGAAAAGGAAUUAUUUGUUUGUUAUUUUAUUAAUUUUUUUAUUUUUAUAAAAGUUUCAUGUCCCCCCUCAGUGCCCCCACCCUUUUUCUUACCUUUGAUGGGGGUAAGGGACACACUGACAACUCUGGUGAUCUGGUGGUGAAUAAUGAUCUACAGCCUGCAGCUCCUCCAGCUGCAGCCUAUCUUCAUUCCUCCCUCGAGCAGGAUACUGUGUCGAAGCAUUGCGAUGGCAACGCGCGGCAAUGCUCAGUCCAGCAUGCUCGCGGAAGGGACUGCCUCCCAGGUUCUCUCUCCAUCCCACCCAAACCAAGCGAGCAGGGCCAGCUCUCCGUGGGCUGGCAGGGAAGAUCAAAGGAUCUUCCCUGUCGGCCGGGUAUAUUGGCAAUACUGUGGGGCUCCCAUGCUUGUGGGGCCCCCUGGCAACUGCCCAGCGUACACAUGCGGAAAAGACGGCCCUGGUUUUAAUGCCCGAUGUACAGUGCAAGCAUAUUAGUAACCUGAUAUCCCCAGAUACGAGACACGUGGGAACUAGAGCGGGAUGGUGGGACAGGAUCCUGAAAUUAGGAUUGUACUGCUAAAUGGGGAAUGUUGUGAGGCAUAUUGUGUGCAAGCACUGGGGCCAGCUGUCCCAGCUAUGAGUUGUGAAGGAAGGGGAGAUCUCCACAUGGCUGUUUCUAUGAUCUCUCACAAAGACACAUAAAGCCCACAAAAUGAUAGCACUUUUGCUGUCCUUCAUGAAGGUUACAUUGGCUGUCGCAAACUGCAUAAGUGGUGGAGAAAUACCCUGUGUAGCAGCCAUCGUGAAGGGGUUAAAGUUCAUGCUGCUGCUGCCUUUGUACACAAAAUCUACAGCAGAAGAUCUUCUUUGUGGCAGACCCUGUCCUAUCCCCAUUUGGUUGCCAGUAUUCCCCUUUUGAUUUCCCUGAAAAAACUGUGUUCCCCUGGCUCUAUAGCUUCACUCUACCGAAUUCAUCCGAACACUUGCUCCAUAGCGGCCGAGCAGUUGAGCUUGUGAACAGGCUUCAGCAGUACUUCAGCCAAGACCGCUAUGGAACUCUCAACACAUCGGCUACAUUGGCUAUAUAACUUUGCAGUUCCCAGGCAUCUUGACCCAAUGUGAUGACCCACUUGCCGACCUGCCAGGAGAACGCUAAAUGGAGGGAAGGUACUAUGGACUAUGAGGAACAAUCGCUCUUUGAGAGUCAGGGGGAACUUCCCUUCAUUUGACCACUGGAGCUCCCGAUAUUUGACCAGUGAAGACCACUUUCGCUCUAAUUCCUUAUGGAUCCGGGGCACUAUUUGGAAAACUUGGGUGCUCGCAAAAGAGCUAUUCAGGGGUGUAUUACAUGUGGGGUUCCUGUGUGUUUUAACUGUGUGUUGGGGUACUUUUAUGUUUUUUUUAUGUUUGGCUUUCUGUAUCCGGGAUAAUUAACUUACUGGUCCUUCACUCAAUUAUCUCCCAGACACAGAGACACCUGGGCGGGGAUUGUACCUAUUGUAUGGAGCUAAAAGGUCGGGUUUAACUCAAUAAAGUCAGUUGUACUCUGAGAACUAUGUGUCGUCCAGUUACUGGGGGAAUGGGCUAUAUUCACUAAGCAGUGCUUUGUUCCAGCUCAAGAAGAUUUCGGCAGAGACAUUUGGUCUUAGGAUUGUAGCUCUGCUACAGUCUUCUCCCAGACAGACUAGGAAGUGGCUACCAGUCAGGGUUCUUCCAUUCUGGUGUAUGAGAUGUAAUCUCAAGUAAAGCCCUUUUCUUCAUGAGCUUGUGGGAUACAUACUCCAGACCCUAGCUAUGGUUACAAUCACCUGAUUUGAUGAGAAUAGAAGCGCUCAGUAAGCUGAUACUUGGCUACUAUCAGUGUAGAAAUAACUAUCGGUGAACAGUUUACGUCACAAUAUUUUUCUGAUCCAACAACCACGUAUGCAACUUCAGCUUAGGCUCUCUCCUCCUUUGACAUUAGCAGAAGGGAUAGCUGAUGUUGUGUUCAGGGACUUCCUUGCACCUUACUCUAUCCAAUGAGCACAGGGUGUUACGUUGCUUAGAGUGGGCCUUUAACAGACACGUUUUUUUAUUUUAUCACAGUUUCCAAUUAGUAACCUAUUACAGCAUGGAUAGAAACCAACAAUAAUAAUACAUGCAGGUAUUCUAUGUAAAUGGAUUUGCUUUCUCAUUUUUGUUCUAAACAUCAAACCUUUUCAAAGACCUAGAUUAACCCUGAAACGCGGCUUAGACACUGGCACAGCUUCCAAAAGUUUAAACAAGUUUUUAGAAGAAUUGCUGAGCUUUGGAAAAACCUGGCAGUGGAAAAAUUCUACCUUGUUUAAUGGGAUCUGAUUUCCAGUUUCAAGAUUAGGAUAAUAACACUGUUUUUCUGUAAUUGAUAAUUUAUUAUACUACCAGCAGCCAGUGCCCUAACAGACAUCACCAUGUUCAUUGUUAUACACUGAAGUGUGAAUUGGUAUGAAUUGAAAGCGAAAUUGAAUAUAAAAUUACAGACUAAGAUCGCUCGUUUCAAAACAUAGGUAAUGUAGAAUUUUUUAAAAAUCUGAUUAUUUUGGCCUAAUAUUCAUUAAUCUGCCCCACACUUCCAAAAGUUAGUCCUCACCUACUUAUAAAAGGGAAACCAUGACAAUCCUGGCACCAUAACCCCUACAGCUAUGGUGCUUGGAGUGUGUAAAGAUACAAUCCAGAUCCCUAAAGCACGUUAGCUUGCUGAAAAGCUUUAUGUGUGAAGGCUGUCCUUUUUUCAUUUUGAAAAAAGUACAUAUUUCAGUAGAAAAUUACACUUUUAUAAAUUAAAGGUACACUAUGGUCACCAAAAUAACUUUAGUUUAAUGAAGCAAUUUUGGUGUAUAGAUCAUGCCCCUGCAGUCUCACUGCUUGAUUCUCUGCCAUUUAGUUGUUAAAUCACUUUGUUUAUACAGCCGUAGUCACUAUUCCCUGCAUGUGACUUAUUCAGUCUUCCUAAACACUUCCUGUAAAGAGUCAUCUAAUGUUUACACUUCCUUUAUUGCAAAUUCUGUUUAAUUUAGAAUUUAGUUUUAGCUUCAGCUCUAUUAAUAGCUUACCAGACCCUACAGGAGCCACCUGUAUGUAAUUAAAGUUCAAUUUACAGAUCCGUAGAUAAAAACUUUUAAAGUAAGUUACAAUUCUGAUUAAAAAUGAAACCAUUUUAUUUUUAUGCAGCCUGUGCCAGUCACAGCCAGGGGAGGUGUGGCUAUAGCUGCAUACACAGAAACAAACGUGAUUGAGCUCCUAAAUGGUAGUGAACUGAGCGUUGGUGAGAUGGAGGGGGGGUGAUGGUGAGAGGGAGGGGGGUGAUGGUGUGAAGGGGUUUGUUGGUGUGAGUAAGGAGGGUGAUGGUGAGAGGGAGGGGGUACUAUACCUUUUGUCAUUCCCUGGUGGUCCAGUGUGGGGUCCCUGGUAAUCCAGUGGGCUCCCUGGUGGUCCGGUGGUGAUAUCCAGUCUGCAGUUCCGCAGUGUGCAGGGCUGCAGAUCAUGUAUAUCAUGAGACCCGGUCAGAGCAUUGCCGUGGUAACCCGCAACAACAGUCUGAUUGGCCAGAUCUCACGAGACACAUGGUCUGCAGCUAUGCACACUGUGGAGCUGCAGACCAGCGGCCACGGGCGCUCUCCAGCCAGGCCGGGCAACCUGCAGGGGCCUCGCACCCCUCCUGGUGUCAGGUCCUCGGUCACUGAUUGAGGACCUGACACAGUCUCCCUAACUUGGAUUAGGUGGCCACGAGGCCUUAGGCGGCCACCUAAACCACUUAAUUAGAGAGCCGCCUCUGCAGGAGGCCGUUUUUAAAAUGAUUUAUAUAUAUGAGGCAGUGCAUAAGUCUUGGUAAUCAGUUCUGCGCUUUAUGGAACGCUGUACAUGUGUGGCCUAGAACUUGUGACACAGGCUAGAUUAAGCUGUUCUAGGAUUGGCUAGCCCCUGGUGUAGAUAAUCAGUAAUGAGAGGGAAAAACUAAGGUGUAUGAAAUAAAUAUAGCAAAAGGUAAACUAUGUAGAUGCUCCUGUUCGGAGUUGGGCUAUAAUCUUACAUAGCUCCCUGGGUUUUAUAUGGAUUAACACUAUGGCCCUCUGGUACCAUCAACAAUGUUGGUAAUUCCUUUGGGUAUAACUAGUGGUUUAUGAGUCAACGCUGUGCACUUUUACUGGCCUUAUGGGCAUCUGUGUAGUCGGGGGGAGGAAAAUUCAGACGCUGGAGUAAGGUAUCUCCUCCAAUCACUUCUGGCACCCCCCUGAGGCGGAUGUUCUUCCGUCUAUGCCGGGACUCCAGCACUGUCACCAUUCUUGUGAGACUCUGGACUUGAUGGGCGAGGUCUUGGACCUGGUCUUGGGUGGUCUGCAACCUUUGUUCCCUAGCGCCCUCUCUAGACUCCACAGCGGUAAUCUGUUGGCGCAGGGUCCCCAGUUCUGCUUUUGUUUCCAGCAGGUCUGCCUUCCACACUUGCCUUAUUUCCAGCAGGAGACUUUUGAUGUCUCCUUUCGUUGCCGGUGACGAGUCGUCCUCUCAGUCUGACUCAUUGUGGCUGCUGGCGCUGGAGGCGAAGAAGGGGCUUCCUCCUCUUCUCGGAGACCUCCUCCACGCUGAGUUCCAAAGGGGCCAUCUUAGGAAGAGCCCGUUGAGUAGGCCUGUCAAAGGAGAGUUGUAUGUCUGGCAGUUUAGCGGCUUUUGGGGUGCAAAAUUUUAAAAAAUUUCGCCUCAUGGUGUCGUCUGGAUGGGGGGGCAAUAAGGUGGGUUGUCUUUUGGAGCUUGUCGGGCAAUAUUAUUCUCUGAUUGUUAUAAUCUGGAUCGGAGCUCCUCAAAAGCACUAUAUCCCAUGGCCAAGAGGACACACUCUUUACACAUAAAGCUUUUCCACAAGCUAAAGUCCUUUAGGGGUCUGGAGUGUCCCUUUAAGUCAACGGACCUCAUAUUAUCAUUGCUGGUUUCUCAGGUAAUAAAACACAUAUAACUGACUUAUCUGUAUGUGUACAUUCUUGUGGGCAUGGUGUGAUUCCUGGGGGUAUUUGCAUACAUCUCUGAAAAACAAAGUAUCCGCUUUGGGAUUACACCUUGACUGUGUCAAUGUCUCCCUCUCCUAACCCCCCCAAACAAGUGGUUUUAACCCCUUAAGGACACAUGAUGGAAAUAUUCCGUCAUGAUUCCAUGUUAUUCCAGAAGUUGUGUCCCUAAGGGGUUAAAUACCUAAUGUUCAUUACAAAAAAAGUUAUGGGAUGAAGUAACUUCCUAUGUUUAAUGUGUUAUAUAGAUAAUGGAGUUAAAAAAAUAAUUAUAAUUAUAUAAUAAAAUAGAAUGUAGUAAUUAGGAUUGGGACAAUCGGUUAAGAGCGUGAGGUAACACGAGUCCAGAUAGAGUAGAGCUUUGCCACAAAUCAAUAUUUAAUUAGUGAAUGUGUCUGUAUAGUAAAUGUUUGAAUAGUCUAGCUGCCUUCCACGUGUUGGGCAUAUGCCCUUUUACUCACACCCAACAAGGAUACAGAUUGCCAUUCAUCAUAACACAGUUUUCAAACUUCCUUAUUUUCUCCCACUGGUUGGUUGGUAUUAGGGUUUGUGUUGGCAACAUAACAAUUGCUGGGGGGGGGGGUGUAUUUUUGUCUUACCGAACACAAUAUGUGGUCCCACCUCCAUGGCUGAGAUUAUUAAUCUCUAUGAUCUCAGCUAAACAAAUGCUUUACCUUAGGAAAGCAUUGGGAGGAUUUUGUGCAUGCGCAGCAAAUGUGCCAAUCCGCAUCACCUCAUAGAGAUGAAUUAAAUUAAUGAAUCUUUAUGAGGAACAUUCAGCACCUCCAUGCAGUGUUGGAGACACUGAACGUAAGUGCUGCAUGUGGUGCAGCAGUGACCCAGGACUCUCUAGUGGCCACUUGAGUGACGGUCACUUGAUGUGUUACUAAGUAGCAAUGUAAACCCUGCCUUUUCGCUGAAAAGGCAGUGUUUAUAAUGAAAAGCCUGCAGGGACAGGCUAUAGACACCAGAACAACUACAUCAAGCUGUAGUGGUUCUGGUGACUAUAGUGUCCUUUUAAGAAUUGCAUUUUCUCGUUGAAAAUGACUGGCUCCUAACUUUUUUUAGCUGGCUCCUAGAUUCCAAACAAAUAUAUCAAGCCUUGGGGUAAGUAAUUAUUAGCUUCAAUGCACACAAUGUGCUGCACAUAGGAAUUCCAAUUCCAGCACACACAGACACACUACAUCCCCAACACACAUACAGACACACUACAUCCCUAGCACACAUAUAGAAACACCACAUCCCCAGCACACACACCACAUCUCCAUCACAUACACCACAUCCCCAGCAUAUACACAACAUUCCUAGCAAAAACACACGCUACAUCCCUAGCACACAGACAAGCUACAUCCCCAGCAUUCACACACACACACUACUUUCCCAGCAUACACACACACACCACAUCUCCAGCACACACAGACACGCUACAUCCCUAGCAUACACACACAGACAUGCUACAUCCCUAGCACACACGGUACAUCCCUAGCACACACACAGACACACACUACAUCCCCAGCAUGCAUGCACACAGACACACACUCUGUGGGGAUAUUUAUGGGAUGAUAAUUUUAAGCAGUCGAGAAUUGCCCACUAUUUCAAUUCUCUUAGAUCUUAGAGAUCGUUUAUCAUGUAAGUGAAAAGUAUUCCAUAAAUAAUUCACAAUCUGUUAUAAAAAUAGAUUUAUUUUUAUUGUAACAAAUUAAUUAAUAAUAUUAUUAGGCAACAUGCAUGAUAUUAAUCAGUGAAUAUUUAGUAUAACAUAGUAUGCAAUACAAUGGAAUGGCUAUACACGGUUCCAAAGGCUAAACAGCACCAGCUGUCACUUACACGAUUUAUGAGGUAUCCUUACAGACACAGAAAGCGAACUUUUCACAGCGAAGAGCCAUAAAACCCUUGCUAACAGUUAGAUCAACUGAAUAACCCUUUUAAUGCUGGCUAGAUCCUCCUAGGCAUAUAGUAUCCUAUUCUCCUGUGAUUUUCAAUUAAAAUAACAUUUGAACCAGCUCAUUAGUCAUUUCCUGGCACCAUCCAAUAAGAAUAAUCUACCAGAUUUUUACAAAAACAAAACCGAAUUUUUAUUUGGUUAAAAGAUAUCUUAUUUUAUAUUAGAGCAAAUCAAUACACCUGGAUAAAAACAACGGUAUGCUAACACGUGAUACUAUCACAUUAAUAUAUAAUUAUUCUUAAUUCCACCUGCAGAAUGGAAUGUUUAUAACUAUAUAUUCUUUAGUUAACUAAGAUUUCUAAUAUGGAAAUCUGACCGUGAUUUAUCCAGUCAUAUAUCAUGCUAUUAGUAAAUUUUAAUUAAUUUAAAUUAAUUAAAUGAAACCAGCAUAAUUACCAGUUAUGUAGAUAUUCUCAUCAGAUGAGUAGGUAGUCCCAGAAACUUGAUUGGUUGUAUGGAGGUGCGUGAGUGAUAGAAAAAGUAUUAAAGAGUUUAAGAGUUUAUGUCCAAGAGAGUUUAAGGGUAGAGUGUUAGUCCCAGAUAUUGUCCUGGAUUUCUCUGCAUGUCCGACUUGGAUGCCCAAACUUCCAAUUCCUCUCUCUCUCUCCAUCCCCAACUACCCUGUCUUCCCUUUGUCCUAACUUUUAAAGGGCCAGACUCUCUGUACGUCAUUAGUUGAUAAACCAAUAGGCAGCCGUAGGUGUGUCCAAUCGAUGGAUCGCAAUUUAGGUAUUUGAUCCAUAGAGGGCAGUCUCGUCUAACGAAACCUUCCUAUCCAGGAAAGAGUUAACUUUUCCUGAUGACGAUUUUGACGUCAUUUGGCUUAUCUAAAAUGACUACCAUAACUUAGAUUUGCUGUCAGUUCAAAGCGUUUGUCCCAGUCUUUCUGGCAUCUACUUUGAUCGUAACUUGUAAAAUUGACAGUUCUAAACUCAAUUUCACCCCUUACUACAAUGGUACCUUGUAAAAUUUAGAAAGUAAAAUUAAUUAAUGUCUUCUCUGUCACUAGUGUCUGUGUUUAGAUAAUUGCAUCUAUUAACAUUUACAUUUUAGACAGAGCGUUCCAUCACCCUUGCUUCAUUGCUUAUCUUGGUUUGUUUAUGUAAUACAUUCCUCAGCUCAAGCAAGUGGCUAGUUACUGAAAGUAAGAAGAAAUCAAGGAAAUUAUGUGUUUUUGUUAUCCUGAAGAUAGCAAAAUGGAGUCCGCUUUGUUCUGAGUGGCUGUGGCAAUAUACACUUUUAAUUUCUUUUUAGCACAAAAUGUCUGUUGAUAUAAAUAUUCUGACAACUCCCCAGCAUGCACACACACAGACACACACUACAUCCCCAGCAUGCACACACACACUACAUCCCCAGCAUGCACACACACAGACACACUACAUCCCCAGCACACACACACACACAGACACACUACAUCCCCAACACACACACACUACAUCCCCAACACACACACAGACACACUAUACCCCCAGCACGCACACACAGGCACACUACAUACCCAGCACACACUACAUCCCUAGCAUACUCACUGGCACACUACAUCCCCAGCACACACACAGUCACAAUACAUCCCAUGCACACACACAGACCCACUACAUCCCCAGCAUACACACACAUCCCCAACACACACAGCACACACACUACAUCCCCAGGACACACACAAGCACAUACACACUGCAUCCCCAGCACACACACUACAUCCCAGACUAAUGGCAAACAUCCCACAUGACAAAUUAACUUGCUCCCCUUUGGUUUGUUAUUAGUGAUUGACAUAUAUUGUACUACCACUGCAGAAGCAUAUAUGUUGUGAUGUUAAAGGACCACUAUAGGCACCCAGAACACUUCAGCUUAAUGAAGUGGUCUGGGUGCCAGGUCCAGCUAGGAUUAACACUUUCUUCUAUAAACAUAGCAGUUUCAGAGAAACUGCUGUUUACAUAUGGGUUAAUCCAGCCUCUAGUGGCUGUCUCACUGACAGCUGCUAGAGGCGCUUCCGCGCUUCUCACUGUGAUUUUUACAGUGAGAAGACGCCAGCGUCCAUAGGAAAGCAUUGAGAAUGCUUUCCUAUGGACUGGCUGAAUGCACGCGCGGCUCUUGCCGCGCAUGCGCAUUCAGCCGAUGACAAAGAGAAGGAGGAGGAGAGUCCCCCGCCCAGCGCUGGAGAAAGAGGUAAAUUUAACCCCUUCCACCCCCUAGAGCCCGGCGGGAGGGGGGCCCUGAGGGUGGGGGCACCCUCAGGGCACUAUAGUGCCAGGAAAACGAGUAUGUUUUCCUGGCACUAUAGUGGUCCUUUAAUUUAGUGUGCAUUGAUCUAAAUAUGUUAUUGGAAUGUAUUUAUCUGAUUAUGAUAUAUUUCAUUUUAGUUUUAAUUAUCAUAAUACAACAUAAUAAUGUGGGCGUGUUUUGCUGGUGUCGUUUUGGGGGACCACGGCAGCAAAUUGUCUUGGGCCGACCCUGGUAUCUGGUUGUGUCAUUGUAUCUGCAUGUGUGUCAGUGUGUGUAUCUGUAUGAGUGUAUCAUUGUUUGUAUCAGUGUGUGUGUCAGUGCAACUGUGUGUUAGUGUUAGUGUGUGUUAGUGUUUGUAUCUGUGUCUUUGUGUGAUUUUUUUGGUUUCUGUAUCUGUAUGUAAGUCAUUGUUUGUAUCUGUGUGUCAGUAUCUAUAUGUGUGUCAGAGUUUGUAUCUGUGUGUCUGUAUCUAUAUGUGUGUCAGAGUUUGUAUCUGUGUGUCUGUAUCUAUAUGUGUGUCAGACUUUGUAUCUGUGUGUCUGUAUAUAUAUGUGUGUUAGAGUUUGUAUCUGUGUAUCUGCAUGUAUGUCAGUGUGUCGGUGUAUCCACAUGUAUGUAUCUGCACUGUGGGGAGCCUGGCAUCGAGGAAGAGGUGGAGAGGAUAUGGCAGAGGAGAAGCAAGGGAGCCUAGAAUAGAGAAAAGGGAAGAUAGUGCAGAAAAAAAAUAUAUAUAAAUUUAAAACAGCAACUAUAAUAAUUAUAAAUAUUUCGUAAUAUGAGGGGUACAAUUUAUGGAAAUUUAGUUGACAAGGGGUACUCAAGCAAAAAAAGUUUGGGAACCACUGCCCUAGAGUAUAAUCACUAGCUCUUGUAAGAGCUGUUCUUGUUCCUGCUACACUCUCUGGAGGAAGAGAGGCCUGCCCACUGGAAACUGGAUCCUGGCCUUGGGUCCAGGGUGGGAGAAGGACUUCGAGACCCCGGCGCAGCUGCAUCGCUGGAAGUGGGGUCUGCAGUGCUGAUGAUGCUGGGUGGACUGCUGGAAGUCCUCGGCAAGCACUAGGAGCAUCGAUUGACGGAAGUACACGGUGGGAGUGCCAUGCGGACCGUCACAGCGAAUUUGCGUUGUAUGCCUGUCGUAUUUAAUGCGCCAUCGAAUCUAAUGCACAUUAAAAUUUUGGAGACUUUAUUUUGCCAAUAAAGGUCCGCUUUAGAUUUGAGUAAAUACAAUAAUCCAUAUCAGAAAUACAAUAAUGCUUCAUGUUCUGCUUGGUCCAGUUCCAUCAUUAGAAAACUGAAAUUUUAAAUAAAUAAAUUGAAUUCUUUCAUUAAGCACCAUAAUAUUCACAUAGUAUUCUGUGCCUUCCAGACUGUAUUUCACUGAAGACUGUCUUCAAGCAACGAUACAGAUAUCUGUCUCCGUAAUAUGACAACAGGUACAAUUGCAUAUUUGUUUAAAUUUAAUUAAUGUGCCUUUUAUUGUGAACUAAUCUAACAUAAAGGUGAUGGGACUAUUCUAGUUAAUUAAUAUACUGCGAGAAAACAUGAAAGUGAAGGUGUGUAUGUAUAAGGGUCAUAAAGUAUAUAUGUGCAUGAGAAAGUGUUGGGGUCACAAUUAGAUUAUUGAUAGUGUUGAACAAGACAUGGCAUCUCAUUAGUACGGGGGUGGAGUAUCUGGGCCGAAUUUAACUGGUGAGGUGUCAGGUGUGGUUUACAGAAAUAGGGACAAAGACCAAGAGUAGUCUAGCACCCCCCCCACUCGUCCUCCUAAAUAAAAAUUUACCAGCUGCUGUGCUUGCUAUAAAGGGGGGUGUUGGUGGGCAAUAUCUGUUUAUUCUCAUAUGUUUCUAUGUCUGAUGUAUAUUUUUCAAAACGAUAAAUAGAACGCCUUGUGAUAAAAUAACAAGAAACAUAACCUAAUUAUAGUGAUAAGAAAAAAAUAGAGUGAUAAAAUAAAUCAGAGGGUGGUUCGUGGGUCAGGAUGAGGGUGUUAUGUUUCGCUCCAUAAUAGGAAUAUAGAUGGGGUGUUGUGAUCAGGGGGUGUUAAUCAGACUAAUGUGAGUUUUUGAAAAUAAGAUGUGAUGAGCCGAGUAGAGCAUAUCUAAUAACAGUACGCAUAAGAGCAUUGCAGGUCUGCUUACUCACCGAAAUUUGAAAUCAAUAAAUUAUUCCAUUAGGCAUCUUGAUAUUCACGUAGUAUUGGUUAUUAACAUUAAAACACACUGUGAUUUCCAUGAUGUAAGCCAUGUAAUGACUGACUGAUAUUGAAUGUUUCAGGCCAUGGAGAACCCUGCGAAUUUGAACAGAGCCUUUUCUGUCUGAAUGGAGGGAUUUGUUAUAAGAUAGCUUCUGUUUCUGGUCCAUUCUGCAAGUGAGUGACCAUUAGUUGUACUUGAUCAGUUCAGUUUAACAGGUCAAACAGUUGUUGAUAGCAGAAGAGAGCGGCAUUUAAUAUUACUGCAUGCUAAAUACAUACCACUCUAGGAACAAUAUAUAGGGCGGAGCACAUAAGAUUCCAUGGUCAAAACUGGGGGGACACUAAUAAUUUUGCUGCCAUUGGCUGUCUGGAGCCAGCAUGCUGUGUGUGCUGGCGUCAGACACCAAAUUUGCAUAGAAUUCACAAUAGCCACCUUGUUCUGGACUGUCUAAUGCCAUCUCUUUGUUUUGAUAUUUCAACUGUUUAGAAGAUAACUCCCCUGUUUUCUACCUUUUUGUGGGAUUGCAUAUCUACUAAACAGUGCCCUAAUUUGGUAUUCAUCAUUAUAGAAAUUCCAUAUUAGGGUACCAAUUUAGGGAAUUAUCUACUAAACAGCUAAAAAUAUUUUCUUUAAUAGAUAACUUCCUUAUUUGUUAUCCUUAUGUAGGAUUGCCAUAGUUAAGGAUACCAGAUUAGGGAGCUGUAUACUAAACACAUACACAUUUUCAUGCACACACAAGCACAUACAAACAUACACAAUCAAAAACAUAUACACACCAUCACACACACACACACACACACACACACAUAACCACAUACAUGCACACAUAAUCAUAGAUGUACAACACACAAUCAUAGACCUACACACUAUCACAGACACAUAAUCACAGACAUACACACACAAUCACAUAUACACACACACAAUCAUAGAUACACACACACACAAUCAUGGACACAUAAUCACAGAUAUACACACACUAUCACAGACACAUACACACAUUUUCGACUUAUUUAAAGUCCUCCCAGCCUCUCCUGGUUGGCCAUUGGUUGCCGGUAGGCACUCUCCCUGCACAUGUUCCAUAUGUGCCGAUGCUGGGAUGAUGUCAGACCUUGGCUACCAGCAUGGCAUGCAAGGGAGCUGAGCAGGGAGAACACAGAAUGUACUUACUUCCCUCGCAAACCCCUUGAUCAGACAACAUUAUAUUUGUUCAGAGUAUGUACCUUCUGCGUGGGUAGGCAGGCUCCUACUUUGCCAGAUACAGUUAGUGAUAGUAGCACUUGGUGGAGGGUGGGGGGGCACACCUAGGGGAAUGAAUAAUUAUUCCCCCUCACACCCCUGUGACGACGUCAUAGAUGCCAGGAGGACUUCUACUCUGUCUUACAACAGAUAACAUACACUGUCCUUACAUGUCUGGUGUUAUAUACUGAGAACAAUGUUUUGUGUGUUACUGUAUCUAGGACUUAUUGCAUGCAGAUUAGAAAUAGCAAUGGAAUUAGUAGGCCAUAAGAUUUAUCAAACAUUGUGCAAUUUGGCAGUGCAUGUUCAAUGCAGGUUCAGAAUCAUAUAUGCAAACAUUUUGGCUGCCAUUUCAUCUAUCAUAAGACACUCGUACACUGAUUAUCUAAUACGCCCUUGGCUUCUGGUUUCAUUUAAGUUUCUAAAAACGUUUCUCUUUUGAAGGAAUACUCCAGACACCAUUACUACAAUAUACAUACAUAAAUCAGGUGGAGCUUCUUAGAAAAACAAUGUAACAGAUAUUCUGUAAAAUAGAAUAUAAACCAUAGUGCAAUACAGUAAUAUAAAUAAAGUAAAGGUAUGUAUGCAGUAGGUAUUCCACUCACAAGCCUGGAGUCAUAAUCUCAUAUGACUCAGAUGGUGUGUGCCUUUGGACCAAUUCAGGAUGUCCAGAUCCUUCUUUCUUGCAGGAUUCCGUCUGUAAUCACCUUUAACCAACUUUCAGACCAAAAAUGUCAGGUCAGCGUUAGGUUUCUAAAAGGAUGGUGCUUUAUUUAAAGUAGAAAUAAAACUUUUAAAAGAAAUUAACAUUUAAAAUCAAGUAAAAUAUAACAGCUUUAAAUGGGGCUAUAUAGUCCUUAAUAAUUGCCAAAACGCGUUUCGCCCGGUAUAACAGGCUUCCUCAGUCGGCUAAAAUGUCCACUGUUUAGUCUUCUCAGCUUUUUAAAAAGUCCGCUCAUUUUUACUUCCGGGUUCCGGUUCUCGUCUCGGUGGAACGCAAUUAUGCGUUCCAAUGAUGUCACUUCCUGUUUCAUCACUUCCGGAUUGAUACAUUAUUCGGUUGGAACGCAUCGUGCGUUCCAGUAGUGCUAUUUUCUGUUUCGUCACUUCCGGUUUUCAAUCUCGGCCAGUUGGAACGCACAAUGCGUUCCACCGGCAUCCUCUUUCAGUAUUACUAUUAUUUUACAAUCGAUCCACAUGAUUUACAACUUUAUAAGUAUAUUUCCACACAUUCAUGUGUAUAUACUAAUAUACUUUGCUAGUGUAUCAAUAAUAUCACCAUAGAACUUUGUAUUAAACCCCCUUUCACAUACAUUAAUAAAUUUUGCAUAUAUACUAAAAAUAUCCAGUCUAUCUUUUGUAAUAAAAGAUGGUGUAGAUCUCUUUGAAUAUUUAUGCAAUAUGCAAAACAUUUUUCCUUAAAGUGCUUUUAUAAGGGGAGCGAUAUGUAUAUUUUAAGGUGCUCUUACAUUAUAAAGGUGGUAUAAAUAUUUUCCCUUAAAGUGCCUUUGUACAUUAAAGUGCUCUUUUACAUUUUCCUUUUAAGUGCUUUUUGUGAUGCUUUUUAAGCCUCCACAAUAAUAUUCAAGAAUAUGCCAUUUCAAAAACUAGAAAAAAAUGGGGUUUAAAAAUAGUAAUUACCUUUUUAAAAUUAUUUGAGUUGAACAAAAUAUACCUACUCAGAAUAAUAAAAAAUAAUAGGAUAUAUGAUAUAGGAAAAUUCAGUUCAUGAAAUGGCAUAAUUCAAAAUCUUGGUUUAAACCAUGAGGUGCCAUAGUGUUAAAGUUAAAAAUAAAUCUCAUUUCUUCUAUUCCUAUUUUCCUAAUGUAAUCUCCUCCUCUCCAGUCUUUUUUUACCAAUUUUAUUGCACAAAAGAACAGUCCUUUGGGAUAUUGGUUAUGGAAUAUCUUAAAAUGGUUGGAGACGCUAUGUGACUCCAAUCCAUUCUUUAUAUUCCUCGUAUGUUCUGCUAUUCUCGUAUUUAAGCAUCUAAUAGUUCUCCCUACAUAUAGGAGAUUACACUGACACUUCAGGACAUAAAUGACCCCUUUAGAAUGGCAAGUUAGGUGGUCUCGAAUUUGAAAAUUUUGGUUUAUCCAAGGUUUCAUAUCUAUUAUAUGGCGCUUCCUGCUUUUGGUAUUUCUGCAUGCUAGGCAUUGGCCGCAACCAUAAAAACCUUUAUUUUGCCUUAGGAAAUUUUUUUCCACUAAAAUUUGUUUAUCACUACUUUGUACUAAAGUGCUUUUUAAGUUUUUUGCUCCCCUAUAAAUGAUCCUAGGUCUUUCUGACAAAAUAUUUUUUAAGAUUGGAUCAUCUUGCAAGAUGUGCCAAUAUUUGUUUAUAAUUUUAUUGACUUUUUUGUGAUUCCCAUUAAAAUCACAAAUAAAUGGGACAUCAUUGUUCCAUUUUUGUUUCCCCUUUUUAUCUUUGUAUAUUAGAAGGUUCUUUCUAGGUAUUAUACGAACAUCUUCUAGAGAGGCCUGUAGCUCUGUUUCUGCAUAUCCUUUUUGUAAAAAUUGAGUCUUUAUCUUUCCUGCCUGUAAUAAAUAGUCCUCAUCAUUGGUGCAAUUGCGCCUAAUUCUUAAAAACUGUCCUCUAGGUGCAUUUUUUAGCCAGGGUGUGUAAUGACAGCUCUCUUUCCGGAUGUAUCCAUUUGCAUCCACUUCUUUGAAAUGAUUCUUUGUGGUGAUGCAGGUAUUCGUGAUAUUAAUGUCGAGAUCUAAAAAAUUUAUACUUUCCUCACUUACUUGCGCCGUUAAAACAAUGUUCCGAUCAUUCUUAUUUAAAAAGGUGAUAAAAACAUCUAACUCUGUCCUAGUUCCUGUCCAGAUAAAAAAUAUGUCAUCGAUGAAACGACGAUAGCACACCAAGUCCGCUACCCAGGCAUGUCCCCCAUAUACAAACUUCUCUUCCCAAUACGCCAUGAAUAGGUUCGCAUAACUGGGAGCGAACUUGGUGCCCAUCGCCGUUCCCCGGAUUUGGAGGUAAAAAACAUCUUGAAACCAAAAAAAAAUAUUAGUUAAAAUCAGGUGGAUACCUUCUAAAAUAUUUAGAAUCUGUUCCUCUUUAAAAUUGUGUUUCCUUAAAAAAUGUUGCACAGCUUCCAAUCCGAUCUUGUGUGGUAUAAUGCUAUAAAGGGAGGUUACAUCACACGUAACCAAAAAAUUACCCUUUUUCCAAGUAGUUUCUUCUAGCAGCUUCAAAAUGUGUAUAGUGUCUUUUAGAAAAGCGGGAUUGCAUAUGACUAGAGGUUGCAAUAAUUUAUCUAAGUAUUCUGAUACCUUCGCUGAGACGGAAUCAAUCCCGGAUAUUAUUGGUCUACCAGGUGGAUUUCUCCUAUCUUUAUGUACCUUUGGUAAAUGAUAAUAAACCGGAGUUUUAGGGUGUGGAGUAGACAAAUACUUGGCUUCAUCUAUUGUUAAUAUUUCCUUUUCUAAACCUUUCUUAAUAUAUUCAUCAAAUUUCUUUUUUAUCUCCUCGAUUGGAUUUCGGUCCAACUUUUGAUAUGUAAGAGGGUCAGACAAAAUUCGUUCCGCUUCUUGCACAUAGCUCGACCUUGAGGCUAUAACAACCCCCCCCCCCCUUAUCUGCUGGUUUAAUAACCAUCUCUCUAUUUUGUUUCAAUUUCUUGACCACAUUCUUUUCUUUAUUCGACAUAUUGUAUUGGUAUUUAUUCAGUGGCCUAAUUUGUCUUAUUUCUUUCAUGACCAUUAAUGCAAUCCCGCUUAUCUAAAAGACACUAUACACAUUUUGAAGCUGCUAGAAGAAACUACUUGGAAAAAGGGUAAUUUUUUGGUUACGUGUGACGUAACCUCCCUUUAUAGCAUUAUACCACACAAGAUCGGAUUGGAAGCUGUGCAACAUUUUUUAAGGAAACACAAUUUUAAAGAGGAACAGAUUCUAUAUAUUUUAGAAGGUAUCCACCUGAUUUUAACUAAUAAUUUUUUUUGGUUUCAAGAUGUUUUUUACCUCCAAAUCCGGGGAACGGCGAUGGGCACCAAGUUCGCUCCCAGUUAUGCGAACCUAUUCAUGGCGUAUUGGGAAGAGAAGUUUGUAUAUGGGGGACAUGCCUGGGUAGCGGACUUGGUGUGCUAUCGUCGUUUCAUCGAUGACAUAUUUUUUAUCUGGACAGGAACUAGGACAGAGUUAGAUGUUUUUAUCACCUUUUUAAAUAAGAAUGAUUGGAACAUUGUUUUAACGGCGCAAGUAAGUGAGGAAAGUAUAAAUUUUUUAGAUCUCGACAUUAAUAUCACGAAUACCUGCAUCACCACAAAGAAUCAUUUCAAAGAAGUGGAUGCAAAUGGAUACAUCCGGAAAGAGAGCUGUCAUUACACACCCUGGCUAAAAAAUGCACCUAGAGGACAGUUUUUAAGAAUUAGGCGCAAUUGCACCAAUGAUGAGGACUAUUUAUUACAGGCAGGAAAGAUAAAGACUCAAUUUUUACAAAAAGGAUAUGCAGAAAUAGAGCUACAGGCCUCUCUAGAAGAUGUUCGUAUAAUACCUAGAAAGAACCUUCUAAUAUACAAAGAUAAAAAGGGGAAACAAAAAUGGAACAAUGAUGUCCCAUUUAUUUGUGAUUUUAAGGGGAAUCACAAAAAAGUCAAUAAAAUUAUAAACAAAUAUUGGCACAUCUUGCAAGAUGAUCCAAUCUUAAAAAAUAUUUUGUCAGAAAGACCUAGGAUCAUUUAUAGGGGAGCAAAAAACUUAAAAAGCACUUUAGUACAAAGUAGUGAUAAACAAAUUUUAGUGGAAAAAAAUUUCCUAAGGCAAAAUAAAGGUUUUUAUGGUUGCGGCCAAUGCCUAGCAUGCAGAAAUACCAAAAGCAGGAAGCGCCAUAUAAUAGAUAUGAAACCUUGGAUAAACCAAAAAUUUCAAAUUCGAGACCACCUAACUUGCCAUUCUAAAGGGGUCAUUUAUGUCCUGAAGUGUCAGUGUAAUCUCCUAUAUGUAGGGAGAACUAUUAGAUGCUUAAAUACGAGAAUAGCAGAACAUACGAGGAAUAUAAAGAAUGGAUUGGAGUCACAUAGCGUCUCCAACCAUUUUAAGAUAUUCCAUAACCAAGAUCCCAAAGGACUGUUCUUUUGUGCAAUAAAAUUGGUAAAAAAAGACUGGAGAGGAGGAGAUUACAUUAGGAAAAUAGGAAUAGAAGAAAUGAGAUUUAUUUUUAACUUUAACACUAUGGCACCUCAUGGUUUAAACCAAGAUUUUGAAUUAUGCCAUUUCAUGAACUGAAUUUUCCUACAUCAUAUAUCCUAUUAUUUUUUAUUAUUCUGAGUAGGUAUAUUUUGUUCAACUCAAAUAAUUUUAAAAAGGUAAUUACUAUUUUUAAACCCCAUUUUUUUCUAGUUUUUGAAAUGGCAUAUUCUUGAAUAUUAUUGUGGAGGCUUAAAAAGCAUCACAAAAAGCACUUAAAAGGAAAAUGUAAAAGAGCACUUUAAUGUACAAAGGCACUUUAAGGGAAAAUAUUUAUACCACCUUUAUAAUGUAAGAGCACCUUAAAAUAUACAUAUCGCUCCCCUUAUAAAAGCACUUUAAGGAAAAAUGUUUUGCAUAUUGCAUAAAUAUUCAAAGAGAUCUACACCAUCUUUUAUUACAAAAGAUAGACUGGAUAUUUUUAGUAUAUAUGCAAAAUUUAUUAAUGUAUGUGAAAGGGGGUUUAAUACAAAGUUCUAUGGUGAUAUUAUUGAUACACUAGCAAAGUAUAUUAGUAUAUACACAUGAAUGUGUGGAAAUAUACUUAUAAAGUUGUAAAUCAUGUGGAUCGAUUGUAAAAUAAUAGUAAUACUGAAAGAGGAUGCCGGUGGAACGCAUUGUGCGUUCCAACUGGCCGAGAUUGAAAACCGGAAGUGACGAAACAGAAGAUAGCACGAUUGGAACGCACGAUGCGUUCCAACCGAAUAAUGUAUCAAUCCGGAAGUGAUGAAACAGGAAGUGACAUCAUUGGAACGCAUAAUUGCGUUCCACCGAGACGAGAACCGGAACCCGGAAGUAAAAAUGAGCGGACUUUUUAAAAAGCUGAGAAGACUAAACAGUGGACAUUUUAGCCGACUGAGGAAGCCUGUUAUACCGGGCGAAACGCGUUUUGGCAAUUAUUAAGGACUAUAUAGCCCCAUUUAAAGCUGUUAUAUUUUACUUGAUUUUAAAUGUUAAUUUCUUUUAAAAGUUUUAUUUCUACUUUAAAUAAAGCACCAUCCUUUUAGAAACCUAACGCUGACCUGACAUUUUUGGUCUGAAAGUUGGUUAAAGGUGAUUACAGACGGAAUCCUGCAAGAAAGAAGGAUCUGGACAUCCUGAAUUGGUCCAAAGGCACACACCAUCUGAGUCAUAUGAGAUUAUGACUCCAGGCUUGUGAGUGGAAUACCUACUGCAUACAUACCUUUACUUUAUUUAUAUUACUGUAUUGCACUAUGGUUUAUAUUCUAUUUUACAGAAUAUCUGUUACAUUGUUUUUCUAAGAAGCUCCACCUGAUUUAUGUAUGUAUAUUGUCUAUUUUAAAGUGGUAGAGGGGAUUCCACUUUGAGGUGUAUAGAGCUUCGUAUUGAUUAUCCUCCACCCUGUGCACAUAUUUGUUAUAUUACCAUUACUACAAUAGCGUGCUGUAUUGUUGUGAUGAAAGGAGUGCCUUGACGCUUCCCUAAUGUAAGUAGACUGACUACUUACCUGGGGUUUGCUGUGGGACACUCCAUGUUUCCUCUGGUUCAAUUAGAUCUUUUGAACUAAGCCCUGUAGAUGGCCUCACUUUAAAAAAAAGCCACCUUCUUGUCAUCCAAUGAAAAUCAAGCGUGAUGAUCUCUAGUCCAAUCCAAUGGUUCUCAUAGAGGAACAUUAUCAAUCUACAGCACACAUGAAGCAGCCAAUUAGAUCUCUUUGAGAACCACGGAAUCUAGCGUUCAUCUACGAGUAGACGUAGCCAGAUUAGGCAUCAUCAUGCUGUGCGGGAUGACGCUGAAUGUGAAGACCUUUGAACAUCAAAGGAUAUCAGCAGGAAGCAGCUCUACUGGCAUGUUUUAAGCCAAAUGCAAAUAUUGCCAUUUCUUAGAAAUGGCAGCAGUUUAUUUUAUCCCAGAAAAGGGUCAACAUCUAUGUGCUAAACCACUACACUACAGAUGAGUGGUUUUGGUGCUUAGAGUGUCCUUUUAAAGGUGCAGUCUGUGUACCAUAAUCACUAUGUUCCGACGUGGCUUCCAGCACCAUUGAUGGUAAUUGGUCAAAAUUGAAGGUCCGUAGGCAUCUUCACCUUGAGCCCCUGCUCAGCUCAGCUAAUGUAAAAGUUUCACUUCAGCAAAAUCAGUUUCAUCCAUAGUUUACAUUCACUCAUUGGCUGAAUGUGAAAAUGGUUUGACUAUGAACCAGGGGAUGAUCCAGCAUCUUUAAUGCACCAUAACAACUACAUCAGCAUGUAGUGAUUAUAGUACCCGUCUAUUGAAUUAUUUGAUAAUUCCAUGUUGUUCCAUUUAUAAUUUAUAAAUAUGAAUAUCAGUCAUUGGUGUUAAUUUGGACAUCAUUACUUAUUUUGUGUGAUGUUUUCCUGACAGAUGCAUUGGAAAAUACACAGGCACCCGUUGUGAAGGAGUGUUUCUAGCUGCGGAAAAACAACAGCCCAAAAGUGAAUAUUUGGUCAAUAUCCUGGUUUUUGCUGUUUUCUUAGGGCUACUGUUUAUAGGUUUAAUCUGCUUUCUCUGCAGGUAAGCACGGAGCGUUAGCAGUGAUCUAUGUCCACGUGCAAAACAAACAUACACGGUACAAACAAAACUCAUUAAUACAAUGAUCUGUUGGCCUUGGUAGAUUGUCCUCUGUGCAAACUUUUCAUAUUUGGAGAUAUCUUAUUGACACAUAUUUAUCACUAGAAAAAGUAGUUGGCACUUCUUAGCAUACUGUAAAUUUAGAAAACCAACAAGAUUUUUUUCCCUGUGAUAAGACCACCAAAAAAUCAAAUGUGUUUGGACUGAGUUCCACAAAUCCAUGAUUUAGUGUUACUCAUUAAAGGACCACUAUAGUGCCAGGAAAACAAACUUGUUUUCCUGGCACUAUAGGGUCUUUGGGUCCCCCCCACCCUCAGGGUCCCACUCCCGCCGGGCUGAAGGGGGAGGAAGGGGUUAAUAACUUACCUUUCUCCAUCGCCGGGCUCCCUCUGUGCUGGGGAACUCUCCUCCCUCUUCCGACGUCAGCGCUGAAUGCGCAUGCACGGCAAGAGCCGCACGCGCAUUCAAACCGCCCAUAGGAAAGCAUUACUCAUUACGGCAGCGUCUUCUCCCUGUGAUUUCCACAGUGAGAAGUGCGGAAGUGCCUCUAGUGGCUGUCAAUGAGACAGCCACUAGAGGCUGGAUUAACCCUAGUGUAAACAUAGCAGUUUAAAGAAUGAGCACAACCACUCCGCCUAUCAAAAAAAAAAUCAUAAAGCAGGGAUUGAAAUUAUAAACCCCUGCAACUAAUCUGCAUUAAGUAAUAAUCCAAAAAAAAUAAAAAAUCACAACUAUUGCCUUACAAGCUGCGUUUACAUCUAGGCUACUCCCUACGUAGUAAUUUGGCAUCAAUUUUUUUUGAACUAUUAAACAAUGGGCAUCCAAUUCAGAUGCCCAACUAGAGAUUUAAUGGGUCACUUAAAAACUCACCUCUAGGGGCAUCGUGAGUAUGUAUGAGGUGUUCUCAGGCUGGACAGAUGUCACAAAUGACCUCAAUUCUACACAUGCCCAGCUUCUCUCAACCGCUUAUUAAACAGCGAUCGUCAAACAGUGAGUCCGUUUGUGCUGUAGUGGAUGAAGGGGAGGGAAAAUGUUAGUAUUGCAGUACUCUAUGGUGUAUUUGUAAGCUACCCUUUCCCAAAAUGAAAUCACGUCAGAAGUUUUCACUUUCACCACUGGCAAUAGAUUCAUUUUUUUUUUUUUUUUAUCAACACUAAUCUGGUGGGUUGUGGACGAGCCACCCCUGUAUAACAGUCUAUUGCUAAAAUUAUAAAAAAAACCUUGCAUUAAGAUAUCUAAUCUUUAUUUACCUACUACUACUGGAAUAAUAGGCCUCCCCAAUAUUGUAAUAAGUAAAAAAACUACAAUUUUAGCACAGGCACUUCGCGCCCCUUCCUUUAGUGGUUAGUGUGGAUGAAUACAUUGUACAGCGCCGCGGAAAAUGUUGGCGCUUUAUAAAUACAACUUCUACAUUUAUAUAUUUCAUAUUUAUAUAGCACUGUGCAAACUUUUUAGGCAGGUGCGAAAAAAUCCAGUAAACUUAGAUGCUUACAAAAACAGAAAUGUUAAUAGAUGAUUUUUUUUUUUUUGAUCAAUUAAUAAAAUGCAAAGUGAGUGAACAGAAAAACAACAUUUUUUAUUUUUAUUUAUAAAACAUUAGACGAAAAUUGAACAAUCGUAGUGAAGAUGUACCAUAACAGAUAACCAUGGCAUCCAGCAUAGAUCCAUAAUAAUCCAAGGUAAGUCCGGUGGUUUACAGCCUUUCAUUAUUUGUUAUUUGGUAGAUGUACAAGCUCAGUUUGGGUAGGGAAGGGUCUGAUCCUUGCUGGGUGAGAUAUUUCGCACUUCAGCCACUUGCUUUUUGUGAGUGGUUUUCAAUUGUCUUUUUUUUUGUUGCAUAAUUGUUUUAAACAUAUUGAUUUGCACUACGUAUGGUUUAUAAUUUAUUUUUAGAUUACUUUUGUCAGAAUUUUGGAAAAAAAUAAAAAAUAUAUAUAUAUAAUUUUUGCGCACCAUUUGUACUUUUAUUAAUAAAGUGGAUUUGUCACUUUCGGGGGUCUUUGCAUAUUACUCAAAGACCCGCGAGACUGACAGAUCUGAUGUGUGUCCAGUGGCCGGGGGUACAGGGAAGGGGAGUUUUGCUUACCUCAGGCUGUCCCUCACGGCCGCAAAUAUUUUUAUCCUGCAACUCCAUUAGUGCUGUACUCUCAUGCAUGCACGACCAUACAACCAUGAGGUCUAUGGAUGAUUGCGCAAGACCUCCAUAAACCUCGCCGUUAUACUGUCUUUUUCUCUCCUUUUCUUGUGCUCCUGCAUUGAAAGUUGCAACCUUGGGAUAGGAUUCAUUUGAUAUAUGUUUAAGUAUUGUGUGUAAAGCAGGGGUGUCCAAAAGGUAGAUCCCCAAAAUAUUUAAAACUACCUCUCCCAUGAUGCUUUGCCAUUCUAAAGCAUUCUAAAGGCAUGCAAAGCAUCAUGGGAGUUGUAGUUCUACAACAUCUGGGGAUCUACCUAUUGGGCAUCCCUGGUGUAAAGUGUAGCAUGGACAUACUAUUCCCAUGCUAAUUAUGUAUAUACAUUUCUUUUCUAGAGUUCUGAAGAGGUUGGACACUUUACGGAUGUUGGAUCCCUGGCCACUAUUUCAGUCGAACAGACAUAAUACAAGAGACAUUGUAACAUUAUAAUGGGUUCUGACUUGUUGCAUGCCGAUUUGGGAACUUCAUUUGCCUAUAAAUCUAGCUGCUAUGCUCUUUGGGAAGCUGUCAUGAAACAUCUGCGGUACAAUCUGGGAUUGGUCAUUUGAAUUAAACUUUUUUUCCCAAAAUGCAACCAAACAAAUCUAUUAAUAUUCAGUAGAUUCUGGAAUCUUCAAGAAUAAGAUUUUGCAAUAAAUCUGAACAUGUUAAGAUCAUUGAAUGCCAGUGAUCUAGAAUAGUAUGUAGGGUGCUGUUCUAAUCUAGUGCACAACUUGCUUACGGAUUGUGCUGUAGUUUAUGUAGAUUCGAUGCUGGUGCCAGGCCUACGCUAUAAUAAAGCCCGUAGGAGUUUCAGGCAAACAGGAGACCAUGUAAAAUAGCUUCUUGAAUUAGUACCUCCAGUAGGGCCAUUAUAGCCAAACAAGCCAAGCGCAUUUCAUAUCUUUAUAUAUCUAGUACAGCAAUUAGACUCAGGCUGUAGCCAUGAUGGGACUUCAAUAUUGGUUGUUAGCAUCUUAAAAUAAUUAAGUACUUAAUAAAAUCGCAGUGUAAAUUGUCAAGCCUAUUAUUGUGGUGGUGGUGUUUAACAAAGUAUUUUGUAUUUCUUUGUUUAUUCAUAAUAGUUCAUCAUUGUUGCAUUUUAUUU
Non-coding RNA from Pelobates cultripes (western spadefoot toad), 37331 nucleotides. NCBI's taxonomy places the organism in Eukaryota, Metazoa, Chordata, Amphibia, Anura, Pelobatidae. The record is from the annotation of a GenBank genome assembly.